GAUGAACGCUGGCGGCGUGCCUAACACAUGCAAGUCGAACGGAGAUUUAACGCUGAUGAAGCUUCGGCAGAAUCUUGUUAAAUCUUAGUGGCGGACGGGUGAGUAACGCGUGGGCAACCUGCCUCGUACUGGGGGAUAACAGUUGGAAACGACUGUUAAUACCGCAUAAGCGCACGGUAUCGCAUGAUACAGUGUGAAAAACUCCGGUGGUACGAGAUGGGCCCGCGUCAGAUUAGCCAGUUGGCGGGGUAACGGCCCACCAAAGCAACGAUCUGUAGCCGGACUGAGAGGUCGGACGGCCACAUUGGGACUGAGACACGGCCCAAACUCCUACGGGAGGCAGCAGUGGGGGAUAUUGCACAAUGGGCGAAAGCCUGAUGCAGCGACGCCGCGUGAGUGAAGAAGUAUUUCGGUAUGUAAAGCUCUAUCAGCAGGGAAGAAAGGCUCGUAAGAGAGAUGACGGU
RNAcentral lists this ribosomal RNA (464 nucleotides) under bacterium LC2010. Its description in RNAcentral is "bacterial SSU rRNA". It matches the Rfam family "Bacterial small subunit ribosomal RNA", at positions 28 to 476 of the family's 1533-position model. The record is from RNAcentral.